This 446-nucleotide ribosomal RNA is filed under the name uncultured bacterium. Its description in RNAcentral is "partial 16S ribosomal RNA". It matches the Rfam family "Bacterial small subunit ribosomal RNA", at positions 330 to 793 of the family's 1533-position model. The record is from RNAcentral.
ACCAGACUCCUACGGGAGGCAGCAGUGGGGGAUAUUGCACAAUGGGGGAAACCCUGAUGCAGCGACGCCGCGUGAGCGAAGAAGUACCUCGGUAUGUAAAGCUCUAUCAGCAGGGAAGAAGAUGACGGUACCUGACCAAGAAGCUCCGGCUAAAUACGUGCCAGCAGCCGCGGUAAUACGUAUGGAGCAAGCGUUAUCCGGAUUUACUGGGUGUAAAGGGAGCGUAGACGGCAUAGCAAGUCUGAAGUGAAAGCCCGUGGCUCAACCGCGGAACUGCUUUGGAAACUGUUAAGCUGGAGUACUGGAGAGGCAAGCGGAAUUCCUAGUGUAGCGGUGAAAUGCGUAGAUAUUAGGAGGAACACCAGUGGCGAAGGCGGCCUGCUGGGCUUUAACUGACGCUGAGGCUCGAAAGCGUGGGUAGCAAACAGGAUUAGAUACCCCCGUAC